AAAAAUCAAAACUAAUUACAUACCCGGUCACAUCAUCAAUACGAUAGAUGGAGUUGCAGUAAAAGAGCGGGUAUCAUUGUUUCCAGCCAGAGCUGCUUUCUCUAUUCAGCACUUAGUACACCAUAAACUCAAGACAGGUCCACUGCAUUUUACUGGAAUUCCUGAUUUUACAGAAGAGGGAACCUUGGUUUUUUUCUCCAGUUUUCCUGUAAGCUAUCCGACCGGAGGCACGACGAUCCCGAGACGUGCGGCGUAAGUUAUCCGGCCCUCGGCACGGCCAUAAGCAGAGCUGAAUGUCAGAAGAGUCUCAUCUUGUGAAGCAUGGGGUAGGUUAAAAUAUACCUUCCUGAACUCUGAAGUCUCUGCUUCCCUGUACCUUCUGCUUUCUUUAUUCCCUGACUUAAUUUUUGCAUCCAUCCCUUCACCGUCCAUCUGGAUGUCACAGUUACUUAGAGACACAGACUAGGCAAUUAUUUCCAGCGCAGGCUUGAGCGACCG
Molecule: long non-coding RNA, 498 nt
Organism: Grus americana (Whooping crane)
Lineage: Eukaryota; Metazoa; Chordata; Aves; Gruiformes; Gruidae
Exons: 3
Source: RefSeq, a predicted model, not a curated record